AGUAAUAAAAAAAAAUUAAACUGUAAAUUUAAAAAAGACAUAAAUAGUCUAUUACUA
RNAcentral lists this transfer RNA (57 nucleotides) under Sinentomon erythranum. RNAcentral's name for it is "tRNA-Tyr". Lineage: Eukaryota; Metazoa; Arthropoda; Protura; Sinentomata; Sinentomidae. The record is from RNAcentral.